AGAGUUUGAUUAUGGCUCAGGAUUAACGCUGGCGGCGUGCCUAAUACAUGCAAGUCGGAUGGUUAGCUUGCUAACCAUGGCGAACGGGUGAGUAACACGUAGGCAACCUGUCUAAAAGACGAGGAUAACCAUUGGAAACGAUGGAUAAUACUGGAUAGGAUUAUUUAGGGCAUCCUAGAUAAUUUAAAGAUUUAUCACUUUUAGAGGGGCCUGCGGCGCAUUAGCUAGUUGGUAGAGGUAAAGGCCUACCAAGGCGAUGAUGCGUAGCCGGACUGAGAGGUUGAACGGCCACAAUGGGACUGAGAACGGCCCAUACUCCUACGGGAGGCAGCAGUAGGGAAUUUUCGGCAAUGGGCGGAAGCCUGACCGAGCAACGCCGCGUGAACGAAGAAGUAUUUCGGUAUGUAAAGUUCUUUUAUUUGGGAAGGAAAGACAGAUUGACUGUACCAAAUGAAUAAGCUCCGGCUAACUACGUGCCAGCCGCCGC
RNAcentral lists this ribosomal RNA (487 nucleotides) under uncultured bacterium. Its description in RNAcentral is "bacterial SSU rRNA". It matches the Rfam family "Bacterial small subunit ribosomal RNA", at positions 8 to 518 of the family's 1533-position model. The record is from RNAcentral.